GACGAACGCUGGCGGCGUGCUUAACACAUGCGAGUCGAACGGAAAGGCCCUGCUAUUGUGGGGUUCUCGAGUGGCGAACGGGUGAGUAACACGUGAGUAACCUGCCCUUGACUUUGGGAUAACUUCAGGAAACUGGGGCUAAGACCGUAUAGGAUCUCCUGCUGCAGGGUGGGGGGUGGAAAGUUGCGGCGGGUGGGGAUGGACGCGCGGCUGAUCAGCUAGUUGGUUGGGUAGUGGCUUACCAAGGCUGUGGCGGGUAGGCGGCCUGGGAGGGUGGCCGGGCACAUUGGGACUGAGAUAGGGCGCAGACUCGUACGGGGGGCAGCAGUGGCGAAUAUUGCACAAUGGGCGGAAGUCUGAUGCAGCAACGCCGGGUGCGGGAUGACGGCCUUCGGGUUGUAAAAAGCUUUCGCCUGUGACGCAGCGUGAGUGACGGUAAUGGGUAAAGAAGCACCGGCUAACUACGUG
RNAcentral lists this ribosomal RNA (468 nucleotides) under uncultured bacterium. RNAcentral's name for it is "partial 16S ribosomal RNA". It matches the Rfam family "Bacterial small subunit ribosomal RNA", at positions 28 to 507 of the family's 1533-position model. The record is from RNAcentral.